Molecule: long non-coding RNA, 202 nt
Organism: Culex pipiens pallens (northern house mosquito)
Lineage: Eukaryota; Metazoa; Arthropoda; Insecta; Diptera; Culicidae
Exons: 2
Source: RefSeq, a predicted model, not a curated record
CUACGAGAUGAAUGUGGCAAAUGAAAAUAUAGAAUGGACAACUGUAUCGGAACAAUAAAGGAAACAUGAAGUUGAGCUAGAUACAAUUUCAAACGAUCUUUGAAAAUGCUUAGGGAUGAACAUAAGCCAAAUUUAUUAAAAAAGAAAUUGAAGUAAUUAGCACCUUUGAAGGUUAUACUACGUUCACCAGACAAAGUGGAAA